Molecule: ribosomal RNA, 253 nt
Filed under: uncultured bacterium
Lineage: Bacteria
Description: partial 16S ribosomal RNA
Rfam family: Bacterial small subunit ribosomal RNA
Source: RNAcentral
UACGGAGGGAGCUAGCGUUGUUCGGAAUUACUGGGCGUAAAGCGCACGUAGGCGGCUUUGUAAGUUAGAGGUGAAAGCCCGGGGCUCAACUCCGGAAUUGCCUUUAAGACUGCAUCGCUUGAAUCAUGGAGAGGUGAGUGGAAUUCCGAGUGUAGAGGUGAAAUUCGUAGAUAUUCGGAAGAACACCAGUGGCGAAGGCGACUCACUGGACAUGUAUUGACGCUGAGGUACGAAAGCGUGGGGAGCAAACAGG